This 406-nucleotide ribosomal RNA is filed under the name uncultured bacterium. Its description in RNAcentral is "partial 16S ribosomal RNA". It matches the Rfam family "Bacterial small subunit ribosomal RNA", at positions 30 to 526 of the family's 1533-position model. The record is from RNAcentral.
AUUGAACGCUGGCGGCAGGCCUAACACAUGCAAGUCGAACGAGUGGCGGACGGGUGAGUAAUGUCUGGGAAACUGCCCGAUGGAGGGGGAUAACUACUGGAAACGGUAGCUAAUACCGCAUACCAUCGGAUGUGCCCAGAUGGGAUUAGCUAGUAGGGGGGGGAACGGCUCACCUAGGCGACGAUCCAUAGCUGGUCUGAGAGGAUGACCAGACACACGGGAACUGAGACACGGGCCAGGCUCCUACGUGAGGCAGCAGUGGGGAAUAUUGCACCGUGGGCGCAAGCCUGAAGCCGCCAUGCCGCGUGUAUGAAGAAGGCCUUCGGGUUUUAAAGUACUUUCAGCGAGGAGGCGUUACUCGCAGAAGAAGCACCGGCUAACUCCGUGCCAGCAGCCGCGGUAAUUC